Long non-coding RNA from Alligator mississippiensis (American alligator), 2008 nucleotides. RefSeq lists it as uncharacterized. NCBI's taxonomy places the organism in Eukaryota, Metazoa, Chordata, Crocodylia, Alligatoridae. The record is from RefSeq and is a predicted model, not a curated record. The transcript is spliced from 3 exons.
GGUGACCAGGUAUCACAUGAUAGCCCCAAAGCACGUUUUUCCUAUAAGAUGGAGCCUGUUUUGUUUAGCAUGAUAAUGCUAGGAGCCAGGAAAAACUGGCUAGCUGUCCUUGAAAGAUGAAGCUGAAGAGGAGUGAAAUCUAAAAUAGCUCUAAAGAAAAAAGCCCUCUCUACCAGACAGCCCUCUCUCAAGAAGAGAAUAUGAAAAUACUUCAGUUUAACAAGCUGUGCCUGGUGGACUGCAGAAGGGGGAAAAGAGGUGUCAGCAGGCUCCAACGCUAGAUGAGCUACUGAGGAGAUAUGCCACACUCCCGAAGCACAUGCUGUGGAGACCUAACUAUUAAGAAAGGGCAAACAGUUUUGGAAUGAAUACACCCUUAUGCUCCUUAUGCCAUGGCUUUGGGGACAAAAUGGAUAAUCAGAUGAUAAAAUGUAUGUUGGAAUACUGAAUCAAGUGAGAGGUACUAAUUCACAGGGAUUUUUUUUCAUUUUGGGGGACUUCUGAAGCCUACUUACAAGUGUACUGAACAAUUGUUAUGCAGGAACUCUCCUCCCUCCCCCCCCACCUCACAAGAAGCUUAUUCUUAAAGUACACUUACGAAAUGUAAAUGUUGUGAAUUUAAAACUGUAGCAAAGUCCAAAACAGACCUGUGAAUGAUCUUGUACCACUACUUAAUUGCCUACAUUAGACAUGAUUAUGGUAACAUCUGGCACUGUUCCACAGUUCAUUCUGCACUCUAACAGGCUUCGACUAAGGCAUAACUUCCUGUUUGAGAAAGUUGGUAUCCAGUUGAUGUGAAGCUGAGAGAGAGACUGACAGACUUCCUUUAGGCUAUACAGCUUUGCUUGAUUUCUUAUCAUUUCCAUAGAAAGUGUAAGUUAGGACUCUGAUAUUUUUCUCUGGUAGGCCAAACAUUCAUAUAUAAUACUUAUUUUAAAUACUGUUCAACUACCUACUCUAGUGAUUCUCAACCAGGUAUGUAAAGGCAUAUGGAAGUAAGUGACCAUCCUUGCUCUUCCCCUUCAUCCUUCUGCCUCUGCCCAAAAGAGAAAUAAUCUAGCAGGGUUGUACAGAUCAGUGCUGAGAUGUUGGGUGGCUCUGCACAUGCUAACUUCCAAAUGGUACUACCCUGCCUGCCUGAGAUUCUCUCUGCAGGCAGCCUAACUACCACUACAGAGAGGCAAUCAGCCCUGCACAAAUGCAAAGAGGCUGUGAAAAUCUGAGGGAUAAGAAGACAGGGUCAUAAGAUCAAAAAUGGUGAACUACUAUUCUAUGGCACUUAGUAGGUUGGAUUCUUAAGUCUAGUGCAACAGGUAGGCUAUAUAUUGCCUUCAGUAUUAUUUUUGGCCAAGUGCUUAAGCUUAAUAUUGUUCACCAACAGAUACACGGCUACUUACCACAGGUUUAGUCAUAGAUCUUGGUAUUUUACAAAGGAGGCUGAAUCAAUUACUGGUGAGGAGACUGUUAGCAAAAAAGUGACUUGCCCUAGUCAUCCUGUGGGUUUUAGGCAGACUGAGAAUACCGUUUUGGUGUCUUGCAUCCUAACUUACUGUUUUAAAAAUAGUCCUUGCCCCCUAAUUGCAUCUGAUCACAUACAAAAGAUAAGAAAGGAGAGGUGUGUGGGGUUGUUUUUGUUCUGUUGUUUUUUGGUUGGAGUUUUGUUUUUCAUUUUCUUUUUUUAAGACUUUGGAUCAAACUAACUGUUUAGUAACACUAACUUGGAAAACAAUAUUUCAACAGAAGAUCCCCCUAUUCCAUCUCUUCAAGUGAUCACCGUAUAGGAUUUUGCUCUUAAUCUUUCUGCUAUUAAAACUUUCCACGUGCAAAUAUAAAAUGUAUUAGUUUGUUUUAAAACUGUAAAUAAUGGUAUCUGAAACUUAACACUCUCAAUAGAUUUACUGAUUAGCUUGAUCCAUUUGAGUUCUAAUUUUCAUAAGAGUACUACAUGCAGACACAUUAGUCUCUGCAAUAGGAACUGCACUUUAGUGUAAUAACAUACAAUAUUUAA